GAUGAACGCUGGCGGCGUGCCUAAUACAUGCAAGUCGAGCGAACAGAUAAGGAGCUUGCUCCUUUGACGUUAGCGGCGGACGGGUGAGUAACACGUGGGUAACCUACCUAUAAGACUGGGAUAACUUCGGGAAACCGGAGCUAAUACCGGAUAACAUUUGGAACCGCAUGGUUCUAUAGAGAAAGAUGGUUUUGCUAUCACUUAUAGAUGGACCCGCGCUGUAUUAGCUAGUUGGUAAGGUAAAGGCUUACCAAGGCUACGAUACGUAGCCGACCGGAGAGGCUGAUCGGCCACACUGGAACUUGGACACGGUCCAGGCGCCUACGGGAGGCAGCAGUAGGGAAUCUUCCGCAAUGGGCGGAAGCCUGACGCAGCGACGCCGCGUGAGUGAUGAAGGGUUUCGGUUCGUAAAACUCUGUUAUUAGGGAAGAACAAAUGUGUAAGUAACUGUGCCCGUCUUGACGGUACCUAAUAAAAAAGCAACGGCUAACUACGUG
Molecule: ribosomal RNA, 497 nt
Filed under: uncultured bacterium
Lineage: Bacteria
Description: partial 16S ribosomal RNA
Rfam family: Bacterial small subunit ribosomal RNA
Source: RNAcentral